This 253-nucleotide ribosomal RNA is filed under the name uncultured bacterium. RNAcentral's name for it is "partial 16S ribosomal RNA". It matches the Rfam family "Bacterial small subunit ribosomal RNA", at positions 524 to 776 of the family's 1533-position model. The record is from RNAcentral.
UACAGAGGCGGCAAGCGUUGUUCGGAAUUACUGGGCGUAAAGGGCGCGUAGGCGGCUUGGUCAGUCCCGUGUGAAAUCCCUCGGCUCAACUGAGGAACUGCACGGGAAACUGCCUGGCUUGAGUUCGGGAGAGGGAAGCGGAAUUCCGGGUGUAGCGGUGAAAUGCGUAGAUAUCCGGAGGAACACCGGUGGCGAAGGCGGCUUCCUGGACCGACACUGACGCUGAGGCGCGAAAGCGUGGGGAGCGAACAGG